Molecule: ribosomal RNA, 140 nt
Filed under: uncultured eukaryote
Lineage: Eukaryota
Description: partial 18S ribosomal RNA
Rfam family: Eukaryotic small subunit ribosomal RNA
Source: RNAcentral
UGGUGGAGUGAUUUGUCUGGUUAAUUCCGUCAACGAACGAGACCUUAACCUGCUAAGUAGUUACACGUAACUUCGGUUACGUGGGCAACUUCUUAGAGGGACCUUGUGUGUCUAACGCAAGGAAGUUUGAGGCAAUAACA